RNAcentral lists this non-coding RNA (255 nucleotides) under Helianthus annuus (common sunflower). Lineage: Eukaryota; Viridiplantae; Streptophyta; Magnoliopsida; Asterales; Asteraceae. The record is from RNAcentral.
AUGAGCCGUGUGAUGGGAAACCUUCCCGCACGGUUCGGAGAGCACUGAAUUAGAAUGAGAGGUUCACCACCACAUCAUUGCAUGCAAGGGGAGCGAGCUUGUUGUUUUGUUUACACGUGGAAUGUUGUCUAAUGUCACACCCCUAUUUUCCACGUGUCACGGUGGGCCCGGUGGGGAGUAUCGUGACGUAAUUGAUAUUGUGACAACUCGACCUUUCGACUUUAAAUGCACGUUGACUUGACCAUUGACUUUGAC